This 472-nucleotide ribosomal RNA is filed under the name uncultured bacterium. RNAcentral's name for it is "bacterial SSU rRNA". It matches the Rfam family "Bacterial small subunit ribosomal RNA", at positions 27 to 518 of the family's 1533-position model. The record is from RNAcentral.
GGACGAACGCUGGCGGCGUGCCUAACACAUGCAAGUCGAGCGAGGAGAUCCUCGGGAUGAUCCUAGCGGCGACGGGUGAGUAACACGUGGGCAACCUGCCUCAUAGAGAGGAAUAGCCUUCCGAAAGGGAGAUUAAUACCUCAUAACAUUGCAGUUUCGCAUGGAACAGCAAUUAAAGGAGUAAUCCGCUAUGAGAUGGGCCCGCGGCGCAUUAGCUAGUUGGUGAGGUAACGGCUCACCAAGGCGACGAUGCGUAGCCGACCUGAGAGGGUGAUCGGCCACAUUGGGACUGAGACACGGCCCAGACUCCUACGGGAGGCAGCAGUGGGGAAUAUUGCACAAUGGGGGAAACCCUGAUGCCAGCAACGCCGCGUGAGUGAUGACGGCCUUCGGGUUGUAAAGCUCUGUCUUCAGGGACGAUAAUGACGGUACCUGAGGAGGAAGCCACGGCUAACUACGUGCCAGCCGCCGC